UGUAGUGCAAACUGUUUAAAGUUACAGCUCAAUUGGGAGCAAACAAAUGGUCUCAUAAGACAGGUGGUCUUUUAAGACAGGUUUAACUUUUUUUGGUGUCUCGAAACUAUGUUUGACAGUUAUUUCCACAUAUUAUGUUGUCAUUUUAAUGUUAUAUUUAACAUUGCCAUUAAAAUGCGAGGUUUGGCAUGCUACAAAACCAGGUUCAAC
This 210-nucleotide long non-coding RNA is filed under the name Mytilus galloprovincialis (Mediterranean mussel). The record is from RNAcentral. Lineage: Eukaryota; Metazoa; Mollusca; Bivalvia; Mytilida; Mytilidae.